GGGUUGUUAGCUCAAUGGUAGAGCAGCUGACUUUUAAUCAGCGGGUUCUCGGUUCGAGUCCGAGGCGACCCA
This 72-nucleotide transfer RNA is filed under the name Deinococcus radiodurans R1 = ATCC 13939 = DSM 20539. Its description in RNAcentral is "Deinococcus radiodurans R1 tRNA". It matches the Rfam family "tRNA". From Rfam's summary of the family: Transfer RNA (tRNA) molecules are approximately 80 nucleotides in length. Their secondary structure includes four short double-helical elements and three loops (D, anti-codon, and T loops). Lineage: Bacteria; Thermotogati; Deinococcota; Deinococci; Deinococcales; Deinococcaceae. The record is from Rfam by way of RNAcentral. RNAcentral also lists the same sequence under 1 other name.